Eublepharis macularius is the source of this 2108-nucleotide long non-coding RNA. RefSeq lists it as uncharacterized. The transcript has 2 exons. Lineage: Eukaryota; Metazoa; Chordata; Lepidosauria; Squamata; Eublepharidae. The record is from RefSeq and is a predicted model, not a curated record.
CUUGGUAAGUCACAAAUUGUGCAGACCUAAAGUAAGGCCUUUCUUACCCACAUAUGCUUAAUGCUACUUAAAAAUGUAAAACAUUUAAAUUAUGCAUUAGCAGUGGACAUGACACCUUGCAAAGCCACAUAAAUGGAUUUAAGAGGCUUCCAAAGAGUUUACAAUAAAUGGUGGUGUGGAGGGAGGAUUCUUUGGACACACUUUUCCCAUCAAUGAUGCAGUUUCUUUCAUAAAGGAUGAACUGAGCCUCUCUACAGAGGUGUGAACCAUUGUCAGGAGUAGACAUGGGCAGGAACUGCAUUAUGAACUUCAAAAACCCACGAAAUUGGCGAUCGCGCAAUCGCGUGAUCGCGAUCCAGCAGAUCUGAUUGUCCUUGGCCAACGAACUAGUGUUCGGAAGAAGCCUGGUUUGGUGAGUUUGGCCGCGGUUCGAGAAGCCAGACAGUCAGGCACCAUCAAUCAAUUUCCCUGGAAAUGGAGCCGGGGGAAUGCCUGAACUCUGUCUGCGCUCCUUCUGUCGCCCUGGAAACCCGAAUGGAAGCCCAGCUUACCUUGAUCGGCAGGUCUUCCUUCCAACCAUGGAGCUGCAAAGCUGUUACAGGUUGAGAGAAGACACCCGGGGGAGGGAGGGGGAAGGGGGUUGUAAUGAUUUCACAGCCGGAGAACAGUUAUUGUAUUGUAUUUCCGGGCUGUAAACCAUGCUCUGUUCAUUCUUAAGCAUGGUUUCCAGUUCUGAAAAACACCAGGCUAACAAAACACUCUAUACUCGACAAUAGUUCUGCAGAGAAGAUUAGCACAUCAAGCACCAAUCCAUAUGCAAAAGAACCUCCUCAGGAUACAGUGAAGCCUCCCUCCAUUAGCAUUCCACACCCUGGGAAACUCUUACAGGAUGACUCAGCUCAACCCCACCCCUCCUGAGUAGAUACAAAUGACCUGCCAACAUCCUUUCCACACUGUGACUCUGAGAGAUCUCUGUCUUUUGGUGCUACACCUCUGAAGAUGCCAGCCACAGCUGCUGGCGAAACGUCAGGAACUACAAUGCCAAGACCACGGCGAUACAGCCCGGAAAACCCACAACAACCAACAGUAUAAAGAGUUAGGAAACUUCUUGAAGGAUGCUAGCCUUUUAAAUGAGUUACCCAGUGCAUCAAACAUGAAAAGAGCAUGUAAAGAACUGAGCUCAAACCCUGUUUGCAAGGAAGAAAUAGACUGUUUAGGAAAGAACAGAAUAUUGAUAGAGAAACACCCAGAAGAAGCAAACAACGACCUAGUAGAGAAGGCCAAAGCCGAGAUGACCUCAGCCCAGCAGUGGAGCAUCCCAGAGAGCGAGAUGACCUCAGCCCAGCAGUGGAACAUCCCAGAGAGGAAGAUGACACCCCAGCAGAGGAGGAACACAAGUUAAAGAAACCCAAGACUAAAGUCUUGGGUUUAAAAACCACAGAAGAGUGAGAAGUGGACUUAACUGGAACUGCAGAGACAAUAAAACAUUCCCUAAGCCGGAGAAAGCUGCACACAACUCUUCUGAAAAAGAGAUGUGUUCCGCUUAAGGAGAAGGGGGGGGGGAUUUGUAAUGAUUCCAAGUAAAUGUGUGCAUGUGUCUUUAAAUGCUUGGUAUGAGCUAGGUGAAGAGUGGGGGUGAGAGGAAUGAGUGAGCGAUAUGAUUGGUUGACUGAGAUUGUGGGCGGAGUGAAUGCAGUUUAGACUGAGAGUGCAGGGAGAAAGGAGGGGAGUCAGUAAAAAGCAGGCUAGCUGUGUGCUGCCUGAAUAUGUUGAAGUGUUUAUGACAGAAAUAUAACCUGUGUGGAACCUGAACUGAGCAUGUUUGUGAAAGGACACUCAGUCAGGGAAAGAGAGGCCAGCUGUGUGCUGCCUGAGCAGGUUUAAUAUUCCUGUGAAUGAGAGUCAGAGAAAGAAAGGCUAGCUGUGUGCUGCCUAUAUUUGAAGUAUUUGUGAGAGAACUAUUGAAUCUAGUGAAGGGGGCUAACUGUGCGUGAAGCCUUAGAAGAUAUCUGUGUGAAUGAGUUUAUAGGAAGUAACUUUAAGAACUAAGAACUACUUUAUGAAACCAAUACGCUUCUUGAAAAAUAAACAUUUAUUUUGUUUUGUUA